GCCUGGAUAGCUUGGUCGGUUGGAGCGUGGUGUUGAGAACGCCAAGGUUUCAGGUUCAAUCCCCGUAUGGGACA
This is a non-coding RNA of Podarcis lilfordi (Lilford's wall lizard), 74 nucleotides long. Lineage: Eukaryota; Metazoa; Chordata; Lepidosauria; Squamata; Lacertidae. The record is from the annotation of a GenBank genome assembly.